This 480-nucleotide ribosomal RNA is filed under the name uncultured Caulobacter sp. RNAcentral's name for it is "bacterial SSU rRNA". It matches the Rfam family "Bacterial small subunit ribosomal RNA", at positions 31 to 561 of the family's 1533-position model. The record is from RNAcentral. Lineage: Bacteria; Pseudomonadati; Pseudomonadota; Alphaproteobacteria; Caulobacterales; Caulobacteraceae.
GCACGCGGCGGCAAGCCUACCAUGCAUUACGAACGGAUCCUUCGGGCUUAGUGGUAGACGGGUGAGUACAGUGGGAACGUGCCCUUCGGUUCGGAACAACUCAGGGAAACUUGAGCUAAUACCGGAUGUGCCCUUCGGGGGAAAGAUUUAUCGCCAUUGGAGCGGCCCGCGUCUGAUUAGCUAGUUGGUGGGGUAAAGGCCCACCAAGGCGACGAUCAGUAGCUGGUCUGAGAGGAUGAUCAGCCACAUUGGGACUGAGACACGGCCCAAACUCCAUACGGGAGGCAGCAGUGGGGAAUCUUGCGCAAUGGGCGAAAGCCUGACGCAGCCAUGCCGCGUGAAUGAUGAAGGUCUUAGGAUAGUAAAAUUCUUUCACCGGGGACGAUAAUGACGGUACCCGGAGAAGAAGCCCCGGCUAACUUCGUGCCAGCAGCCGCGGUAAUACGAAGGGGGCUAGCGUUGCUCGGAAUUACUGGGCGU